UCAGGCGUCGAGCGGCGGACGGGUGAGUAAUACUUAGGAAUCUACCUAGUAGUGGGGGAUAGCACGGGGAAACUCGUAUUAAUACCGCAUACGACCUACGGGAGAAAGGGGGCAGUUUACUGCUCUCGCUAUUAGAUGAGCCUAAGUCGGAUUAGCUAGAUGGUGGGGUAAAGGCCUACCAUGGCGACGAUCUGUAGCUGGUCUGAGAGGAUGAUCAGCCACACCGGGACUGAGACACGGCCCGGACUCCUACGGGAGGCAGCAGUGGGGAAUAUUGGACAAUGGGGGAAACCCUGAUCCAGCCAUGCCGCGUGUGUGAAGAAGGCCUUUUGGUUGUAAAGCACUUUAAGCAGUGAAGAAGACUCUUCGGUUAAUACCCGGAGACGAUGACAUUAGCUGCAGAAUAAGCACCGGCUAACUACGUGCCAGCAGCCGCGGUAAUACGUAGGUGGCAAGCGUUGUCCGGAAUUAUUGGGCGUAAAGCGCGCGCAGGCGGCCUUUUAAGUCUGAUGUGAAAGCCCCCGGCUCAACCGGGGA
RNAcentral lists this ribosomal RNA (537 nucleotides) under uncultured Psychrobacter sp. RNAcentral describes it as "bacterial SSU rRNA". It matches the Rfam family "Bacterial small subunit ribosomal RNA", at positions 84 to 619 of the family's 1533-position model. Lineage: Bacteria; Pseudomonadati; Pseudomonadota; Gammaproteobacteria; Moraxellales; Moraxellaceae. The record is from RNAcentral.